CCUACGGGAGGCAGCAGUGGGGAAUCUUGGGCAUGGGGGCAACCCUGACCGAGCAACGCCGCGUGAGGGAAGAAGGUUUUCGGAUCGUAAACCUCUUCCUGGGAAGAGGAAGAGACGGU
RNAcentral lists this ribosomal RNA (119 nucleotides) under uncultured bacterium. Its description in RNAcentral is "partial 16S ribosomal RNA". It matches the Rfam family "Bacterial small subunit ribosomal RNA", at positions 338 to 457 of the family's 1533-position model. The record is from RNAcentral.